UACGAAGGGGGCUAGCGUUGCUCGGAAUCACUGGGCGUAAAGCGCACGUAGGCGGAUCUUUAAGUCAGGGGUGAAAUCCUGGAGCUCAACUCCAGAACUGCCUUUGAUACUGGGGAUCUCGAGUCCGGGAGAGGUGAGUGGAACUCCGAGUGUAGAGGUGAAAUUCGUAGAUAUUCGGAAGAACACCAGUGGCGAAGGCGGCUCACUGGCCCGGUACUGACGCUGAGGUGCGAAAGCCAGGGGAGCAAACGGG
RNAcentral lists this ribosomal RNA (253 nucleotides) under uncultured bacterium. RNAcentral's name for it is "partial 16S ribosomal RNA". It matches the Rfam family "Bacterial small subunit ribosomal RNA", at positions 524 to 776 of the family's 1533-position model. The record is from RNAcentral.